GGACCGUGACCGGAAAAGUCUCCGAAUUGGGCCGAGGUUUUGGCUAGCCCCCCAUUGUCAGACGUCCCGAGCGCGUCCCCGAAGUCGGAAUCGGCAAAGGUGAGCCGGGACAGCCUUCUUCCUCCGCCCAGCCGCCACAGUAAUUUGUCGUCAAGUCUGCCACAGGAGGAUAUUUUGUUCUGGGUUAACCUGCCUUUUUACCUCGCAGGUUGUUUAUCAAUAUUGUGUAAUUUUAAUUACUCCUAGAAUUUCCGCAUGUGUUAGCAGUAAUUAUUUGAAAUUGGUCUGUAAUAUUAUAUUCAUGUUGGACCUGUAAACUUAAUAUUUUAAGUCUGUUUGAUGGAUUGGAUGAGGGAGCUGAGCUCCCAUUUAUUAUUAUGUUGAUGAGUAUGUGGAGGGUGAGCUGAGCUCCCCAAUGGAUUGUUUAUUGUGUUUACAGGUCGGGUGAGUCGAAAACUCCCCAUUGGAAAGUCUAUUUUAUGGCCGGACUCUGUCCGUUUGUUUU
Hevea brasiliensis (rubber tree) is the source of this 505-nucleotide long non-coding RNA. RefSeq lists it as uncharacterized. The transcript has 3 exons. Lineage: Eukaryota; Viridiplantae; Streptophyta; Magnoliopsida; Malpighiales; Euphorbiaceae. The record is from RefSeq and is a predicted model, not a curated record.